This 543-nucleotide ribosomal RNA is filed under the name uncultured bacterium. Its description in RNAcentral is "partial 16S ribosomal RNA". It matches the Rfam family "Bacterial small subunit ribosomal RNA", at positions 355 to 914 of the family's 1533-position model. The record is from RNAcentral.
UGGGGAAUAUUGGACAAUGGGCGAAAGCCUGAUCCAGCAAUGCCGCGUGAGUGAUGAAGGCCUUAGGGUUGUAAAGCUCUUUUACCAGGGAUGAUAAUGACAGUACCUGGAGAAUAAGCUCCGGCUAACUCCGUGCCAGCAGCCGCGGUAAUACGGAGGGAGCUAGCGUUGUUCGGAAUUACUGGGCGUAAAGCGCACGUAGGCGGCCAUUCAAGUCAGAGGUGAAAGCCCGGGGCUCAACCCCGGAACUGCCUUUGAAACUAGAUGGCUUGAAUCUUGGAGAGGCGAGUGGAAUUCCGAGUGUAGAGGUGAAAUUCGUAGAUAUUCGGAAGAACACCAGUGGCGAAGGCGACUCGCUGGACAAGUAUUGACGCUGAGGUGCGAAAGCGUGGGGAGCAAAACAGGAUUAGAUACCCUGGUAGUCCACGCCGUAAACGAUGAUAACUAGCUGUCCGGGUUCAUGGAACUUGGGUGGCGCAGCUAACGCAUUAAGUUAUCCGCCUGGGGAGUACGGUCGCAAGAUUAAAACUCAAAGGAAUUGAC